This 301-nucleotide ribosomal RNA is filed under the name uncultured bacterium. RNAcentral's name for it is "partial 16S ribosomal RNA". It matches the Rfam family "Bacterial small subunit ribosomal RNA", at positions 509 to 807 of the family's 1533-position model. The record is from RNAcentral.
CAGCAGCCGCGGGAAUACGAAGGGUGCAAGCGUUAAUCGGAAUUACUGGGCGUAAAGCGUGCGUAGGCGGUUUGUUAAGUCUGUUGUGAAAUCCCCGGGCUCAACCUGGGAAUGGCAAUGGAUACUGGCAAGCUAGAGUGUGUCAGAGGAUGGUGGAAUUCCCGGUGUAGCGGUGAAAUGCGUAGAGGUCGGGAGGAACAUCAGUGGCGAAGGCGGCCAUCUGGGACAACACUGACGCUGAGGCACGAAAGCGUGGGGAGCAAACAGGAUUAGAUACCCCGGUAGUCCCUGUCUCUUAUAC